UACAGGGGGGGCAAGCGUUGUUCGGAAUUACUGGGCGUAAAGGGCUCGUAGGCGGCCAACUAAGUCCGACGUGAAAUCCCAAAGCUUAACUUUGGAACUGCGUCGGAUACUGGAUGGCUUGAAUUCGGGAGAGGGAUGCAGAAUUCCAGGUGUAGCGGUGAAAUGCGUAGAUAUCUGGAGGAAUACCGGUGGCGAAGGCGGCAUCCUGGACCGACAUUGACGCUGAGGAGCGAAGGCUAGGGGAGCAAACGGG
Molecule: ribosomal RNA, 253 nt
Filed under: uncultured bacterium
Lineage: Bacteria
Description: partial 16S ribosomal RNA
Rfam family: Bacterial small subunit ribosomal RNA
Source: RNAcentral